UAGAAAGAGUUUCUAAUGUUUUAUUAUUUGAAUUAUCAUUAAAAGAUUGAGAAAAAUAUGAAUAUGAAAUUGAGUUUGACAUAUAUUCAUACUCAUAUACAUAUUUGGGAUGCAGUUUGAUUAAAGGAUUGAAUUGCAUGGUAACUUGCCACUGAAGGGUAUUUUUGGUAUUUUCACCAAAUUCCAUAUUUUUCGGGUAGACAUGACACGUUGCUAGACGUCAAUCUUGUCUUAUAGGUUUGAUCGAAUUAAAGAGUUUAAUUCGAUCACUAAUUAGAAAGAAUUCUAAUUGUUAAGUUCGGGUUCGCGCAGUUUGGACUUAAAUCGAUUAGAAGAGUUCUAAUCAAGUUGGGUCAACUCGCACUCACACCUAUUGCUGGCUAAGUAUGGAACCCAAUGGGUCACACACAAGAAAACUUAUCAAGGGUCUAAUUGGAUUAGAUCAUGUUUGCAAGAUAAACAUCCUAGCAGGUAUUGCAAACCUUAGCUCCUGAUUCGAACUGGAUUCGAAUCUGAUUCGAAUUGGAUUCGAAUCUGAUUCUUAAUUGAUCUAAUUUGAUUAGAUCAUAUUCUAAUAUGGGUUAGCCAAGAGUUGGCACCUAAUUGGCUUGAUUUGAGUCUAAUUGGAUUAGAUUUGAUAAAACAUUUAUUUUUGACCGUUAAUUCUUC
RNAcentral lists this long non-coding RNA (669 nucleotides) under Phoenix dactylifera (date palm). Its description in RNAcentral is "long non-coding RNA (PDAC_LNC018556)". The record is from RNAcentral. Lineage: Eukaryota; Viridiplantae; Streptophyta; Magnoliopsida; Arecales; Arecaceae.